UCCUACGGGAGGCAGCAGUGGGGAAUUUUGGACAAUGGGGGCAGCCCUGAUCCAGCCAUGCCGCGUGAGUGAAGAAGGCCUUCGGGUUGUAAAGCUCUUUUGGUCGGAAAGAAAAGGCUUCGUCUAAUAAACGAGGCUCUUGACAGUACCGGCAGAAUAAGCACCGGCUAACUACGUGCCAGCACCCGCGGUAAUA
Molecule: ribosomal RNA, 196 nt
Filed under: uncultured bacterium
Lineage: Bacteria
Description: partial 16S ribosomal RNA
Rfam family: Bacterial small subunit ribosomal RNA
Source: RNAcentral